RNAcentral lists this long non-coding RNA (9879 nucleotides) under Homo sapiens (human). RNAcentral describes it as "non-protein coding SMC5-AS1:7". Lineage: Eukaryota; Metazoa; Chordata; Mammalia; Primates; Hominidae. The record is from RNAcentral.
AGACUGAGGGCGAAACAGCAGGCAGGACUGGGUGGAGACGUUCGGGGACGUGGCAACUGGAGUUUCUUCUCCGUAUAUUUCGGCAUUCAGUUCCUUUUUUUUUUUGUUUUAACUCAGGAAAAAAUCUCAAUUGCGUUUAGUAUUUUGAAAGCCACUUUAUUGCUUCCCGAGCCUCAGUCAUGUGUGGUGGGAGGCUGCUGUGGGUGGCACCUGGGGCGUCCACGGCCGCCAAGGCGGGAGGACGUCAGGCCCUGCUUGCUCCCACCCCUUCCAGGUGAGAGCUCCCGGGCACGCCCGUCGUUGGCUCUUCGUCCUCUUGGUGUUCUUCCCUGUUGCUUCAAAUCAGGUUCCUGUCUCAAAAAUCCGAAAAAGAAAUCCUCCCAAAUGACUCUGUGCCCGACGCUCCGUUAAGGCAUCGUGCUAGGCGUUCUCAAACUCGUGAAAUGACUACACUGCACAGGUUAACCUCAUUGCUACUCUUCCCCUUGCCUCCUAAUUCUCUGGUUAAACUUCCGCCCCCGAGGUUUCUAGAAAUCCCUGAGCUGGAAUGCGCUGCCUUCAUUAAGAGGGUGUUCUGCUUCCGUCUGCUCACAUUCAUCUAGUAAGCCCUCUCGUUAAAGAGGAGGCAGCACACCGAGGCCUGUCUAGAACUUCUUUCAUUUAACCAACAGUGAAUAUCUAAUCUACAAGAAACUGGAGCCGUGGCAGUUUAGGAGCCUGCCAAGGUUGCAUCCCUGGGAGCUUAUUUUCUAUUGUGGGAGACAGGAAAAGAACAAGUGAAUCAACUGUGAAAUUAAAUAAUUCAAACUUAAAGCUGUUGGAACUUUAAAUUAUUCUGAGCCUUGCGAAGAAUGUGGCGAUGGGGCCUGAGUCCCAUGGCAUACAGCUGCAAUGUCUGCCUUGUUUUUUCCUAUAAUCAGGAAGACCAAACAGAGACAGAGUUCUGGUUAAAUCACACAAGUCCCUGGCAUGAGACCAAGAAGUCACAGAGCCCAGGUCUUAGCCCUCAGAGUGUGAGAGAAGACAUGAAGGCAUCAGGGACACUGUGCGAGUGGGCACUGCUGCUUUCCACUGCUCUCCCUAGACUGCAGCCAGGAGGCUGCCUCUGCCCUGCCAGGCGCACACACCAAGAAAGGCCAUGUGGGCACACAGCAAGAUGGUGCCUGUCUGCAAACUAGGAAAAGAGCCCUCACCAGGAACUGAAACAGCUGGCACCUUGAUGUUGGACUUUCCAGCCUCCACAACUGUGAGAGUGAUCAUGGCUGUGCAUUCCUACUGGUAACAGUACAAGUCUUGACCAGGAUUAUUCUGAGGUCCUGGAAGAGAGGAAACCUCUUAAUUAUCCCCAGGAUCAUUCGAUUGACUUCUUUCUUUCAUGGGCACAAUGGACUAAUUCAUUUAGUUUGUGAGGGUGAAGCACUAGUCUGGUUGACCAGUUCUUCCCAACAGGUUUGGACUCUAACUAAAUCAGGGAUAGCCUGCACAGCCUCCUCUAACCAUCUGUUCUUUGGACCACACACAUCUCUACAGAUGUGACUCCUGAAGUCUACUAUGCUUUCAGUUCAUGUGCCCCUGGGCCACAGGUAUCAGGCUGAAACUAUUCACUAAGGUUUCCAGUUCCAGGAACCUUUGUAUUUAGUACCAUAAAAUAGGAGGAGGUUCCAAGAUGGCCAAAUAGGAACAGCUACAGUCUACAGCUCCCAGCAUGAGUGACGCAGAAGACGGGUGAUUUCUGCAUUUCCAACUGAGGUACUGGGUUCAUCUCACUGGGGCUUAUUGGACAGCGGAUGCAGCCCACGGAGUGUGAGCUGAAGCAGGGUGGGGCAUCACCUCACCCGGAAAGCGCAAGGGGUCGCAGAAUUCCCUUUCCUAGCCAAGGGAAGCCGUGACAAGGGAAACCUGGAAAAUCAGGACACUCCCACUCUAAUACUGCACUUUUCCAACAGUCUUAGCAAAUGGCACACCAGGAGAUUAUAUCCCGUGCCUGGCUCAGAGGGUCCCAAACCCACAGAGCCUCGCUCACUGCUAACACGGCAGUCUGAGAUUGAACUGCAAGGCAGCAGCGAGGCUGGGGAAGGGGCAUCUGCCAUUGCUGAGGCUUGAGUAGGUACACAAAGCGGCCAGGAAGGGCCAACUGGGUGGAGCCCACCACAGCUCAAGGAGGCCUGCCUGCCUCUGUAGACUCCACCUGUGGGGGCAGGGCAUAGCUGAACAAAAGGCAGCAGAAACUUCUGCAGACUUAAACGUCCCUGUCUGACAGCUUUGAAGAGAGUAGUGGUUCUCCCAGCAUGGAGUUUGAGAUCUGAGAACAGACAGACUGCCUCCUCAAGUGGGUCCCUGACCCCCAAGUAGCCUAACUGGGAGACACCUCCCAGUAGGGGCCAACUGACACUUAAUACAGCUGGGUGCCCCUCUGAGACAAAGCUUCCAGAGGAAUGAUCAGGCAGCAACAUCUGCCAUUCUGCAAUAUUUGCUGUUCUGCAGCCUCCGCUGCUGAUACCCAGGCAAACAGAGUCUGGAGUGGACCUCCAGCAAACUCCAACAGACCUGCAGUUGAGGGUCCUGACUGUUAGAAAGAAAACUAAUGAACAGAAAGGACAUCCACACCAAAACCCCAUCUGUACGUUACCAUCAUCAAAGACCAAAGGUAGAUAAAACCACAAAGAUAGGGAGAAACCAGAGCAGAAAAGCUGAAAAUUCUAAAAAUCAGAGCACCUCUUCUAUUCCAGAGGAACGUAGCUCCUCAUCAGUAACGGAACAAAGCUGGAUGGAGAAUGACUUUGACGAGUUGAGAGAAGAAGGCUUCAGACGAUCGGUAAUAACUAAUAGCUAAAGGUGGAUGUUUGAACCCAUCACAAAGAAGCUAAAAACCUUGAAAAAAGAUUAGAUGAAUGGCUAACUAGAAUAAACAGUAUAGAGAAGACCUUAAAUGACUUGAUGGAGCUGAAAACCAUGGCAAGAGAACUAUGUGAUGCAUGCACAAGCUUCAGUAGCUGAUUCGAUGAAAUGGAAGAAAGGUAAUCAGUGAUUGAAGAUCAAAUUAAUGAAAUGAAGUGAGAAGAGACGUUUAGAGAAAAAAAGAGUGAAAAGAAAUGAACAAAGCCUCCAAGAAAUAUGGGACUAUGUCAAAAGACCAAAUCUACAUCUGAUUGGUGUACCUGAAAGUGACGGGGAGGAUGGAACCAAGUUGGAAAACAGUCUUCAGGAUAUUAUCCAGGAGAACUUCCCCAACCUACCAAGGCAAGCCAACAUAGAAAUUCAGGAAAUUCAGAGAACGCCACAAAGAUACUCCUCGAGAAGAGCAAUCCCAAGACACAUAAUUGUCAGAUUCACCAAAGUGGAAAUGGAGGAAAAAUGUUAAGGGCAGCCAGAAAGGUCAGGUUACCCAUAAAGGGAAGCCCAUCAAACUAAUAGCUGAUCUCUUGGCAGAAACUCUACAAGCCAGAAGAGAGUGGGGGCCAAUAUUCAACAUUCUUAAAGAAAAGAAUUUUCAACCCAGAAUUUCAUAUCCAGCCAAACUAAGCUUCAUAAGUGAAGGAGAAAUAAAAUCCUUUAUAGACAAACAAAUGCUGAGAGGUUUUGUCACUACCAGGCCUGUCUUACAGAGCUCCCGAAGGAAGCACUAAACAUGAAAAGGAACAACCGGUACCAGCCACUGCAAAAACAUGCCAAAUUGUAAAGACCAUCAAUGCUAGGAAGAAACUGCAUCAACUAAUGAACAAAAUAACCAGCUAACGUCAUGACAGGAUCAAAUUCACACAUAACAAUAUUAACCUUAAAUGUAAAUGGGCUAAAUGCUCCAAUUAAAAGACACAGACUGGCAACUUGGAUAAAGAGUCAAGACCCAUCAGUGUGCUGUAUUCAGGAAACCCAUCUCACAUGCAAAGACACACAUAGGCUCAAAAUAAAGGGAUGGAGGAAGACCUACCAAGCAAAUGGAAAACAAGAAAAAGGCAGGGGUUGCAAUCCUAGUCUUCGAUAAAACAGACUUUAAACCAACAAAGAUCAAAAGAGACAAAGAAGGCCAUUACAUAAUGGUAAAGGGAUCAAGUCAACAAGAACUAACUAUCCUAAAUAUAUAUGCACCCAAUACAGAAGCAUCCAGAUUCAUAAAGCAAGUCCUUAGAGACCUACAAAGAGACUUAGACUCACAUACAAUAAUGAUGGGAGACUUUAACACCCCACUGUCAACAUUAGACAGAUCAACGAGACAGAAAGUUAACAAGGAUAUCCAGGAAUUGAACUCAUCUCUGCACCAAGCAGACCUAAUAGAUAUCUGCAGAACUCUCCACCCCAAAUCGACAGAAUAUACAUUCUUCUCAGCACCACAUUGCACUUAUUCCAAAAUUGACCACAUAGUUGGAAGUAAACCAUUCCUCAGCAAAUGUAAAAGAACAGAAAUUAUAACAAACUGUCCCUCAGACCACAGUGCAGUCAAACUAGAACUCAGAAUUUAAAAACUCACUCAAAACCGCUCAACUACAUGGAAACUGAACAACCUGCUCCUGAAUGACUAUUGGGUACAUAACGAAAUGAAGGCAGAGAUAAAGAUGUUCUCUGAAACCAAUGGGAACAAAGACACAAUAUACCAGAAUCUCUGGCACACAUUUAAAGCAGUGUGUAGAGGGAAAUUUAUAGCACUAAAUGCCCACAAGAGAAAGCAGGAAAGAUCUAAAAUUGACACCCUAACAUCACAAUUAAAAUAACUAGAGAAGCAAGAGCAAACACAUUCAAAAGCUAGCAGAAGGCAAGAAAUAACUAAGAUCAGAGCGGAACUGAAAGAGAUAGAGAUACGAAAGACCCUUCAAAAAAAUCAGUGAAUCCAGGAGCUGGUUUUUUAAAAAGAUCAAUAAAAUAGAUAGAUAGAUAGACCGCUCAGACUAAUAAAAAAGAACAGAGAAGAAUCAAAUAGAUGCAAUAAAAAAUGAUAAAGGGAAUAUCACAACUGAUCCUACAGAAAUACAAACUACCAUCAGAGAAUACUAUAAACACCUCUAUGAAAAUAAACUAGAAAAUCUAGAAGAAAUGGAUAAAUUCCUCAACACAUAUGCCCUCCCAAGACUAAACCAGGAAGAAGUUGAAUCCCUGAAUAGAGGAAUAACAGACUCUGAAAUUGAGGCAAUAAUUAAUAGCCUACCAACCAAAAAAAGUCCAGGACCAGAUGGAUUCACAGCCGAAUUCUACCAGAGGUACAAAGAGGAGCUGGUACAAUUCCUUCUGAAACUAUUCGAAUCAACAGAAAAAGAGGGAAUCCUCCCUAAUUCAUUUUAUGAGGCCAACAUCAUCCUGAUACCAAAGCCUGGCAGAGACGCAACAAAAAAGCAAAUUUUAGACCAAUAUCCCUGAUGAACAUCGACGCAAAAAUCCUCAAUAAAAUACUGGCAAACCGAAUCCAGCAGCACAUCAAAAAGCUUAUCCACCAUGAUCAAGUUGGCUUCAUCCCUGGGAUGCAAGGCUGGUUCAGCAUACACAAAUCAAUAAACAUAGUCCAUCAUAUAAACAGAACCAAAGACAAAAACCACAUGAUUAUCUCAAUAGACACAGAAAAGGCCUUUGACAAAAUUCAGCAGCCCUUCAUGCUAAAAAUUCUUAAUAAACUAGGUAUUGAUGGGACAUAUCUCAAAAUAAUAGCUAUCUAUGACAAACCCACAGCCAAUAUCAUACUGAAUGGACAAAAACUGGAAGCAUUCCCUUUGAAAACUGGCACAAGACAGGGAUGCCCUCUCUCACCACUCCUAUUCAGCAUAGUGUUGGAAGUUCUGGCCAGGGCAGUCAGGUAAGACAAAGAAAUAAAGGGUAUUAAGUUAGGAAAAGAGAAAGUCAAAUUGUGCCUGUUUGCAGAUGACAUGAUUGUAUAUUUAGAAAACCCCAUCAUCUCAGCCCAAAAUAUCCUUAAGCUGAUAAGCAACUUCAGCAAAGUCUCAGGAUACAAAAUCAAUGUGCAAAAAUCACAAGCAUUCCUAUACACCAAUACCAGACAAACAGAGAGCCAAAUCAUGAGUGAACUUCCCAUUCACAAUUGCUUCAAAGAGAAUAAAAUACCUAGGAAUCCAACUUACAAGGGAUGUGAAGGACCUCUUCAAGGAGAACUACAAACCACUGCUCAAUGAAAUAAAAGAGGACACAAAGAAAUGGAAGGACAUUCCAUGCUCAUGGAUAGGAAGAAUCAAUAUCAUGAAAAUGGCCAUACUGCCCAAGGUAAUUUAUAGAUUCAAUGCCAUCCCCAUCAAGCUACCAAUGACUUUCUUCACAGAAUUGGAAAAAACUACUUUAAAGUUCAUGUGGAAUCAAAAAAGAGCCCUCAGUGCCAACGCAAUCCUAAGCCAAAAGAACAAAGCUGGAAGCAUUACGCUACCGGACUGCAAACUAUACUACAAGGCUACAGUAACCAAAACAGCAUGGUACUGGUACCAAAACAGAGAUAUAGACCAAUGGAACAGAACAGAGCCCUCAGAAAUAAUACCACACAUCUACAACCAUCUGAUCUUUGACAAACCUGACAAAAACAAGAAAUGGGGAAAGGUUUCCCUAUUUAAUAAAUAGUGCUGGGAAAACUGGUUAGCCAUAUGUGGAAAGCUGUAACUGGAUCCCUUCCUUACACCUUAUACAAAAAUUAAUUCAAGAUGGAUUAAAAACUUAAAUGUUAGACCUAAAACCAUAAAAACCCUAGAAGAAAACCUAGGCAAUACCAUUCAGGACAUAGGCAUGGGCAAGGACUUCAUGUCGAAAACACCAAAAGCAAUGACAACAAAAGCCAAAAUUGACAAAUGGGAUCUAAUUAAACUAAAGAGCUUCUGCACAGCAAAAGAAACUACCAUCAGAGUGAACAGGCAACCUACAGAAUGGGAGAAAAUUUUUACAAUCUUCCCAUCUGACAAAGGGCUAAUAUCCAGAAUCUACAAAGAACUUAAAACAAAUUAACAAGAAAAAAAUCAAACAGCCCCAUCAAAAAGUGGGCAAAGGAUAUGAACGGACACUUCUCAAAAGAAGACAUUUAUGCAGUCAACAGACACAUGAAUAAUGCUCAUCAGCACUGGCCAUCAGAGAAAUGCAAAUCAAAACCACAAUGAGAUACCAUCUCACACCAGUUAGAAUGACGAUCAUUAAAAAGUCAGGAAACAAAAGGUGCUGGAGAGGAUGUGGAGAAAUAGGAACACUUUUACACUGCUGGUGGUUCUGUAAACUAGUUCAGCCAUUGUGGAAGACAGUGUGGUGAUUCCUUAAGGAUCUAGAACUAGAAAUACCAUUUGAUCCAGCCAUCCCAUUACUGGGUAUAUACCCAAAGGAUUAUAAAGCAUGCUGCUAUAAAGACACCUGCAUAUGUAUGUUUAUUUCAGCACUAUUCACAAUAGCAAAGCCUUGGAACCAACCCAAAUGUCCAUCAAUGAUAGACUGGAUUAAGAAAAUGUGGCACAUAUACACCAUGGAAUACUAUGCAGCCAUAAAAAAGGAUGAGUUCUUGUCCUUUGUAGGGACAUGGAUGAAGCUGGAAACCAUCAUUCUCAGCAAACUAUCACAAGGACAGAAAACCAAACACUGCAUGUUCUCACUCAUAGGUGGGAAUUGAACAAUGAGAACACUUGGACACAGGGUGGGGAACAUCACACACCGGGGCCUGUGGUGGGGUGGGGAGAGAGAGGAAGGAUAGCAUUAGGAGUUAUACCUAUUGUAAAUGACGAGUUAAUGGGUGCAGCACACCAACAUGGCACAUGUAUACAUAUGUAACAAAUGUGUACGUUGUGCACAUGUACCCUAGAACUUAAAGUAUAAUAAUAAUAAAAAAAGAUAUAUACCAAAAAAAAUAUGAAACAAAGUCUCCUAUGUUGCUUGUUGUAUAAUUGUGCUGCUUUUGGAAGAGAGGAGUAACAUCGAGGGGACUAUAAAUGCCCACUACUUUUCUUGAAUAAUUUUGGUCUUUGUAAAUAUCCUUCAGGAUAUAGUUUAUAUUCUAAGCACACACAGUAGUCUUCCUGAUCCUUAGUGUAUGUGUUCCAGGACCCCUAGUGGAGCCUGAAACCACAGAUAAUACCAAGCCGUGUAUAGACUGUUCCUGUACACAUAUACCUGUGAUAAAUUUUGUUAUAAAUUAGAUGCUGUAAGAGAUUAACAACAAUAACUCACAAUAAAAUAGAACAAUUAUAACAAUACUCUGGUGCACAAUUUAAAACUUAUAAAUUGGCCAGUUCUGGAAUUUCCCAUUUAAUAUUUUCAGACUGCCAUUGACUGAGAGUAACUGAAACUCUCAGUUGGAAAGUGAACCUGUGGAUAAGGGAGGACUACUUUAUGUCUAUUCCAUAAAGCAGUACCUAUGUAGAGUAAUGUAGACAAACAUCUUACCUAAACAUAAUUUUAACAAACUUACCAAUGAAUCAGAGUAUGCCCCUUUGAUGCACAAACCAGUCAUUCGUUUUGAUGACAAGUAUUUUUUUCUUCUUGACUUGCAAAUGACACUUGGUUUCCCCAGAAAAGAUCAGAACUUCACGCAGAGCCACUCUGCCUCACAUGUGUUUGGAAAGCAGAGAAAAGCCCUGUUUGACAAGUUUUACCACAUUACAGCUUCAAGCACUGUCUGUCUCAGCAAAGAAAAGCUCUGGAUGGGAGCCAGGAAGCCCCAGUAUUGAAGCUUCAGACCAGCUCACAUGUUGUUGCACAUGAAGGAUUCCAGUCUGUGGAAGGGAUUAUUAACUGGAGAAAAUAAAUUACAUUCUCUCUGUGGGUCACUGUUUAACAUUCAAGAUGGGGGUUCCAAUGGAUCUAUUGGGAGAUCAGGGUCCCCUCUGUUCUUUGCACAGCAACUGUGAUGUGUUGAGACACACAGACACAUUCCACAUCCAUAAUUCUGGACUGUGAAGCAGCUGUUCCUCCAGUCUCAGGGCUCUUUUUCAGGGUAGGGAAGGAGCCUGAGUGGCCUGCAUGGAGAGGCUGUGUGGAAUGGACAGCUAGCUGCAUUCCUUAGCUGGAAAAGAAUUCUUAAAAAUCAGGGGAAAAAGAUACCAAUAUUUUGUGAAGAACAAUUGUAGAAGGUGUCGCUCUAAAAUUUCUCUUUACUAUACUUUUAAGUGAUUUUAAAAGGCUGUCAUAAAUGAGGAGUUAUUGUUUAAUGGGUACGGAGUUUCAGUUUUGGGAAAUGAAAAAAAAGCUCUGGAGAUGGAUGGUGGUGAUGGUUACACAAUGAUGUGAAUAGACUCAGUGCCACUGAAUUAGACACUUAAAAUGGUUAAAGUAUGUUAUGUGCAUUUUACCACCAAUUUUUUAAAAAGCUUGUCACAGAAGCCUUCUCUGUGUAAGUAGAAUCUGGCAAUGUCAGAAACUAACAUAAUUAAAAAAUAAGCGGGGAGGAGCCAAGAUGGCCGAAUAGGAACAGCUCUGGUCUACAGCUCCCAGCGUGAGCGAGGCAGAAGACGGGUGAUUUCUGCAUUUCCAUCUGAGGUACCGGGUGCAUCUCACUAGGGAGUGCCAGACAGUGGGGGCAGGCCAGUGGGUGUGCGCACCAUGCGCGAGCUGAAGCAGGGCGGGGCAUUGCCUCACCUGGGAAGCACAAGGGGUCAGGGAGUUCCCUUUCCAAGUCAAAGAAAGGGGUGAAGGACACACCUGGAAAAUCGGGUCACUCCCACCCGAAUAUUGCUCUUUUCAGACCGGCUUAAAAAACGGCGCACCACGAGACUAUAUCCCACACCUGGCUCGGAGGGUCCUACGCCCACGGAAUCUCGCUGAUUGCUAGCACAGCAGUCUGAGAUCAAACUGCAAGGCGCCAGCGAGGCUGGGGGAGGGGCGCCCGCCAUUGCCCAGGCUUGCUUAGGUAAACAAAGCAGCCGGGAAGCUCGAACUGGGUGGAGCCCACCACAGCUCAAGGAGGCCUGCCUGCCUCUGUAGGCUCCA